Ostrea edulis (European flat oyster) is the source of this 295-nucleotide long non-coding RNA. RefSeq lists it as uncharacterized. The record is from RefSeq and is a predicted model, not a curated record. The transcript is spliced from 2 exons. Lineage: Eukaryota; Metazoa; Mollusca; Bivalvia; Ostreida; Ostreidae.
CAUGAUUCUGUAAAUUCUUUACAAUCACUGGUUUUCUCCAAAACUGAAUCUUUCCUAUCCAAAAUGGUGGAUUCCAACCUGAAAGAAAAAUAUGAGGAAUAUUGAAAGGGACAUAAGUUAUUUCAAACAAAAUGAUCAAGGAUGUGAAGAAGCCCAUGCAAGAUAUUCAUGAGCACAGUGUGUGAACAAGUUCAACUUCCAAAGCGUAUACCUGCGUGAAGAGUCAUAGUUCAUACCCUCAUGUAUUUUUAAAAAAUGAAAUUUAUUUUUUAAAUUUAAAUUCUACUUUCAUUUC